This 941-nucleotide ribosomal RNA is filed under the name uncultured crenarchaeote. RNAcentral's name for it is "bacterial SSU rRNA". It matches the Rfam family "Archaeal small subunit ribosomal RNA", at positions 1 to 922 of the family's 1478-position model. Lineage: Archaea; Thermoproteati; Thermoproteota. The record is from RNAcentral.
UUCCGGUUGAUCCCGCCGGACCCCACUGCUGUCGGGAUAGGACUAAGACAUGCUAGUCGUGUGCCUCAGCCAAAACGAGGCACGGCGCACAGCUCAGUAACACGUGGCUAACCUGCCCUUAGGACGAGAAUAACCCCGGGAAACUGGGGCUAAUGCUCGAUAGGUGAAGAACUCUGGAAUGAGUCUUCACUUAAAAGAGUCUGCGUUAUGCUCGUAGAUUUCGCUUAAGGAUGGGGCCGCGACCGAUCAGGUUGUUGGUGAGGUAAUGGCUCACCAAGCCUUUUACCGGUGCGGGCCGUGAGAGCGGGAGCCCGGAGAUGGGCACUGAGACAAGGGCCCAGGCCCUACGGGGCGCAGCAGUCGCGAAAACUUUGCAAUACACGAAAGUGUGACAGGGCUAUCCCGAGUGCCAUCCGCUGAGGAAGGCUUUUACCCAGUCUAGAACGCUGGGGGAAUAAGGAGAGGGCAAGUCUGGUGUCAGCCGCCGCGGUAAUACCAGCUCUCCGAGUGGUGUGGAUGUUUAUUGGGCCUAAAGCAUCCGUAGCUGGCUAAGUUAGUCCCCUGUUAAGUCCAACGAAUUAAUCGUUGGAUCGCGGGGGAUACUGCUUGGCUAGGGGACGAGAGAGGCAGACGGUAUUUCCGGGGUAGGGGUGAAAUCCUAUAAUCCCGGGAAGACCACCAGUGGCGAAGGCUGUCUGCUAGAACGCGCCCGACGGUGAGGGAUGAAAGCUGGGGGAGCGAACCGGAUUAGAUACCCGGGUAGUCCCAGCUGUAAACGAUGCAGGCUAGGUGUUUGGACGGCCACGUGCCGUUCUAGUGCCGCAGGGAAGCUGUUAAGCCUGCCGCCUGGGGAGUACGAUCGCAAGAUUGAAACUUAAAGGAAUUGGCGGGGGAGCACCACAAGGGGUGAAGCUUGCGGUUUAAUUGGAGUCAACGCCGGG